CUGCACUCCAAUCGCUAUACCAAACAUACCGUCACAGUUCAAGAGAGCUUAUAUCUUAGUGGACUAAUUAGAGCAAGUCAGAAGAAGUCAGCCAGCACACACACCACCCCUGGUACCUAAUGCAGAAGAGACCGCCUUUACAUGAGCAAAUGGUCCUCUCUUCACUUCUGUCUCCUUUCGUGGUUACCUCAGAAAGCCAAGCAUGUAAUCAGGAGGAGAGGAGGGAAAGCAGCUGAGCAGGGUGUAGGAAUAGACACGCAGCUUGCACCAUCAGCAAAAUGUCAAGCACUGCGAGGUAAUUUGCUUUGGGGGAAGCCAGCUGCCAUGUUGUAAGCAGCCAUAUGAAGAGAUCCAUAUGGUGAGAACUGAGACCUCCAGCUACAGCCACAUGAGGGAGCCUGGAAGUGGAUUCCCCUGCCCUGUCAUAUCUUCAGAUGACUGCAGCCCUGCCCAACACCUUGAGUGCAACCUCAUGAGAGACCUUGAGACAGAACCACCCAAUUAAGUUACUCCCAGGUUCCUGACUCUCAGAAACUGUAUAAGAUUAUAGAUAUUUGUUGUUUUAAGCUGUUAAAGUUUUCAAUUAAUUUGUUAUGUGUCCUAAUACAAAGCAAAAGGUACUAUAGGUUUUUGUUUUGUUUUGCUUUUCUUCUAAUUUUUAAGUGACUUGAGGAUAGGAGCCACAUCUUAUUCAUCUACAGGUUUAGCAGAGUGCCUAAGGACAUAACAGAUCCAAUAACCAUUUUCUGAAUGAAUGAUCCUCUCCUUCCUGUUUUUAUCAUUAAAGUAAAUUCAAUGAAAAUUACACUUCCAGACUUCUGGCUUAACUAAGGAUUUUUUUUUUUUUUUUUUAAUACUGUGGUUUAACCCAGAGUAUAUAGAAGAGAAAAAAAUUCUGAAAUGAGAUCACUUUUCAGAAGGUCCAAUUUUUUAAAUGCUCCUACCAUUAAGAGUUCAAUAUAAAUUUACAAUGAGCCUCACUGAGCAAUUUAGGAAGCCUUGGCCUUCUGCCUUAUAAGCAUUCAUGAUUACAAACUAAAACUUGGCCUCACCACCUAAGACAUGACAGCAUGAUGGGAAAGACUAAAGGCUGACGUAAGUGUAAAAGAAAGAAACUCCCGUAGGUCUUGGGUUUAGGGAGCAGUAUUUACACUCAUUAUGAGUUGGGGAAAAAGUUCCUAAAGGUAAGUAUCACUUGGUAACUUAAACCGCUUGGG
This 1217-nucleotide long non-coding RNA is filed under the name Homo sapiens (human). Its description in RNAcentral is "HSALNT0298237". Lineage: Eukaryota; Metazoa; Chordata; Mammalia; Primates; Hominidae. The record is from RNAcentral.